This 446-nucleotide ribosomal RNA is filed under the name uncultured bacterium. RNAcentral's name for it is "bacterial SSU rRNA". It matches the Rfam family "Bacterial small subunit ribosomal RNA", at positions 329 to 792 of the family's 1533-position model. The record is from RNAcentral.
GCCCAGACUCCUACGGGAGGCAGCAGUGGGGAAUAUUGCACAAUGGGGGGAACCCUGAUGCAGCGACGCCGCGUGAGUGAAGAAGUCAUUCGUGAUGUAAAGCUCUAUCAGCAGGGAAGAAAAUGACGGUACCUGACUAAGAAGCCCCGGCUAACUACGUGCCAGCAGCCGCGGUAAUACGUAGGGGGCAAGCGUUAUCCGGAUUUACUGGGUGUAAAGGGAGCGUAGACGGCAGCGCAAGUCCGAAGUGAAAGCCCGGGGCCCAACCCCGGGACUGCUUUGGAAACUGUGAAGCUGGAGUGCGGGAGGGGCAGGCGGAAUUCCUGGUGUAGCGGUGAAAUGCGUAGAUAUCAGGAGGAACACCGGCGGCGAAGGCGGCCUGCUGGACCGUAACUGACGUUGAGGCUCGAAAGCGUGGGGAGCAAACAGGAUUAGAUACCCGAGUA